RNAcentral lists this ribosomal RNA (401 nucleotides) under Escherichia coli. Its description in RNAcentral is "bacterial SSU rRNA". It matches the Rfam family "Bacterial small subunit ribosomal RNA", at positions 1 to 398 of the family's 1533-position model. Lineage: Bacteria; Pseudomonadati; Pseudomonadota; Gammaproteobacteria; Enterobacterales; Enterobacteriaceae. The record is from RNAcentral.
AAAUUGAAGAGUUUGAUCAUGGCUCAGAUUGAACGCUGGCGGCAGGCCUAACACAUGCAAGUCGAACGGUAACAGGAAUCAGCUUGCUGAUUUGCUGACGAGUGGCGGACGGGUGAGUAAUGUCUGGGAAACUGCCUGAUGGAGGGGGAUAACUACUGGAAACGGUAGCUAAUACCGCAUAACGUCGCAAGACCAAAGAGGGGGACCUUCGGGCCUCUUGCCAUCGGAUGUGCCCAGAUGGGAUUAGCUAGUAGGUGGGGUAACGGCUCACCUAGGCGACGAUCCCUAGCUGGUCUGAGAGGAUGACCAGCCACACUGGAACUGAGACACGGUCCAGACUCCUACGGGAGGCAGCAGUGGGGAAUAUUGCACAAUGGGCGCAAGCCUGAUGCAGCCAUGCC